Non-coding RNA from Parelaphostrongylus tenuis, 77 nucleotides. Lineage: Eukaryota; Metazoa; Nematoda; Chromadorea; Rhabditida; Metastrongylidae. The record is from the annotation of a GenBank genome assembly.
GCGUUGGUGGCGCAACGGUUUAGCACACGCUCCCGGCAAGAGUGAGAUCUAUCUGUGUUCGAAUCCCGGCUGACGCA